This 468-nucleotide ribosomal RNA is filed under the name uncultured bacterium. Its description in RNAcentral is "partial 16S ribosomal RNA". It matches the Rfam family "Bacterial small subunit ribosomal RNA", at positions 28 to 507 of the family's 1533-position model. The record is from RNAcentral.
GACGAACGCUGGCGGCGUGCUUAACACAUGCAAGUCGAACGGAAAGGCCCUGCUUUUGUGGGGUGCUCGAGUGGCGAACGGGUGAGUAACACGUGAGUAACCUGCCCUUGACUUUGGGAUAACUUCAGGAAACUGGGGCUAAUACCGGAUAGGAGCUCCUGCUGCAUGGUGGGGGUUGGAAAGUUUCGGCGGUUGGGGAUGGACUCGCGGCUUAUCAGCUUGUUGGUGGGGUAGUGGCUUACCAAGGCUUUGACGGGUAGCCGGCCUGAGAGGGUGACCGGCCACAUUGGGACUGAGAUACGGCCCAGACUCCUACGGGAGGCAGCAGUGGCGAAUAUUGCACAAUGGGCGGAAGCCUGAUGCAGCAACGCCGCGUGCGGGAUGACGGCCUUCGGGUUGUAAACCGCGUUCGCCUGUGACGAAGCGUGAGUGACGGUAAUGGGUAAAGAAGCACCGGCUAACUACGUG